RNAcentral lists this long non-coding RNA (557 nucleotides) under Phoenix dactylifera (date palm). RNAcentral describes it as "long non-coding RNA (PDAC_LNC018865)". Lineage: Eukaryota; Viridiplantae; Streptophyta; Magnoliopsida; Arecales; Arecaceae. The record is from RNAcentral.
AUCCGGGAAGAUCAUGGCCUUGAGGGCUCUAGAUAGUCUUGGGAUGCUAGAUUUUAGAGGACCCUUUAGAGGAUUAAACAGGGGUCCUAGAUCAUCUUAUAUCUUUGAUAAAUUUUAAUAAUGACUUGGUUCUGUAGGGGAACAAUCUAUUGGACGAGAGGACGCUGAGCAAAGUCCUGUGCAUUCCGGUUUAUAGAUCACCGUGAGGGCGGGUGAUUACUUGUCGGAAUUGUCAAUAAAGGGUAAGAAUCCUUAUACGCCAAUCCUACAUGAUAUACAUAUUUUUGCACUAUAUAUGUUUGAUAUGCUAUGAUCCAGACAAAGCAAAAUAGUUUUAUAUUUAAUUAUAUUUUGAUCGUGUUGGCUUGUGGUUGGUAGUGUGAUGGAUGUAUGUAUGUGUAUAACUUAUACCUGCAUAAUUGAAUUUAUGAAUGUGGUGGUAUGGACUAACCAUGUUAUAGUGAUUGCCCUGUCACGGGCCGGAAACGUGACCAUGGUUAGUCUAGGCUGGAUAUAAGAUGAAAAAAGGAAUUGAUGUGUGUGUGUGAAUUGAUUAA